Molecule: ribosomal RNA, 368 nt
Filed under: uncultured Spirochaeta sp.
Lineage: Bacteria; Pseudomonadati; Spirochaetota; Spirochaetia; Spirochaetales; Spirochaetaceae
Description: bacterial SSU rRNA
Rfam family: Bacterial small subunit ribosomal RNA
Source: RNAcentral
GCCCUUCGGGGUCGGCGGUACACGGUGGCUGCAUGGCUGUCGUCAGCUCGUGCUGUGAAGUGUUGGGUUAAGUCCGCAACGAGCGCAACCCUGCUAUCUGUUGCCAGCAAGUAAUGUUGGGGACUCAGAUGGAACUGCCGGUGACAAACCGGAGGAAGUGGGGACGACGUCAAGUCAUCAUGGCCCUUAUGUCCUGGGCUACACACGUGCUACAAUGGCCGGUACAGAGCGCAGCGAAGCCGCGAGGACGAGCGGAUCCCUUAAAGCCGGUCGCAGUUCGGAUUGAAGUCUGCAACUCGACUUCAUGAAGCUGGAAUCGCUAGUAAUCGUGGAUCAGCCAAGCCGCGGUGAAUACGUUCCCGGGCCUU